Molecule: RNA transcript, 3011 nt
Organism: Mesoplodon densirostris (Blainville's beaked whale)
Lineage: Eukaryota; Metazoa; Chordata; Mammalia; Artiodactyla; Ziphiidae
Gene name: cilia- and flagella-associated protein 77-like
Exons: 5
Source: RefSeq, a predicted model, not a curated record
UCCGAGUUCCGCACCAGCCCCCCACCUGGGAAGGGCACUUGAUCCAGCCGGCUGGUCGACUCGCCACAAUCCCCAGGAUGCCAGAGGCCAGGACCUCCUGCCACGAACUCACACGAUGGAAGAAGAAGCCGCCGGUGCGCUGCACGGUCAGCCAGAUCUGCCCGCCCCCACGGCGGCCCCUGACCAUGGCCGACAUCCAACCGGCCAUGGAGAACGAGAGGCUGGGGGUCGUGUUUCCAUGUUUCAGAACCCGCUCGCUCAUCGACAAGUAGGCCUGGGAUACAAAUGAAGAAUAUAUCUUCAAAAUGAUGGUGUCUUUCUCCAUGAGAAGAGUUCCCAACAGAGAAGCAACUGAUAUGUUUUUCAGGUUGAUCAAUCCUGUAUCAGCCAACCAGGCUCCCCUUUUCUCUACAUCCUCCAAAUAUUUGUUUCUUGUCUUUCCAGUAAUAGUCAUUCUAACAGUUCUGUGCUCCACCUGGGUCCUGGAAUCUAUCACCUGGAUCAGAGAGCUCGCAUGAAGCCAUGUGGCUAGAAGGGUCUUGCUGCUCAAGCCAAGUGUCUAGCCUGACUCUGAGGCGGAAGAUCCAGGUACAGGAUACUGGACCACCAGAGACUUCCCAGCCCCAAGUAAUAUCAAUCUGUGAGAGGUCUCCCAGAAAUCUCUAUCUUAACACUAAGACCCAGCUCCACUCAACGACCAGCAUGCUCCAGAACUGGACACCCCAUGCCAAACUAGUAGCAAGAGAGGAACACAACCACCCAUUAGCAGAGAGGCUGCCUAAAAUCGUAAGUUCACAGAGACCCCAAACCACACCACCAGAUGCAGUCCUGAUCACCAAGAACACAAGAUCCAGCCUCAUCCACCAGAACAUAGGCACCACUCCCCUACACCAGAAAGCCUACACAACCCAUUGAACCACCCUACCCACCAGCUGAAGACACCAAAAACAAUGGGAAUUACAAACCUGCAGCCUGUGAAAAGGAGAUCCCAAACACUGUAAUUUAAACAAAAUGAGAAGAAAGAAAUAUGCAGCAGUUGAAGGAGCAAGAUACAAAUGCACCACACCAAACAAAUGAAGAGGAAAUAAGCAGUCUAUAUGAAAAAGAAUUCAGAGUAAUGAGAGGAAAGAUGAUCCAAAAUCUUGGAAAUAGAAUGGAGUAAAUAUAAGAAAGUUUUAACAAAGACAUAGAGGAAAUAAAGAGCAAACAAACAAUGAUGAACAAUGCAAUAAAUGAAAUUUAAAAAUCUCUAGAAGGGGGCCUCCCUGGUGGCGCAAGUGGUUGAGAGUCCGCCUGCCGAUGCAGGGGAUACGGGUUCGUGCCCCGGUCUGGGAGGAUCCCAUAUGCCGCGGAGCGGCUGGGCCCGUGAGCCAUGGCCGCUGAGCCUGCGCGUCCAGAGCCUGUGCGUCCGGAGCCUGUGCUCCGCAACGGGGGAGGCCACAACAGUGAGAGGCCCGCAUACCGCAAAAAAAAAAAAAAAAAAAAAAAAAAAAAAAAAAUCUCUAGAAGGAAUCAGUAGCAGAAUCAAUGAGGAAGAAGAAUGGAUAAGUGACCUGGAAGACAAAAUAGUGGAAAUAACUACCACAGAGAAAAAUAAAGAAAACAGAAUGAAAAGAAUUGAGGACAGUCCUAGAGACCUCUGAGACAACAUUAAAUGCAACAACAUUCGAAUUAUAGGGGUCCCAGAAAAUAAGAUAAAAAGAAGGGGAAACUGAAAAGAUAAUUGAAGAGGUUAUAGUUCAAAACUUCCCAAAUAUGGGAAAAGGAAUAGACAAUCAACUCCAGAAAGUGCAGAGUCCAUUACAGGAUAAAUCCAAGGAGAAACACAACAAGACACAUAUUAAUCAAGCUAUCAAAAAUUAAAUACAGGGCUUCACUGGUGGCGCAGUGGUUGAGAGUCCGCCUGCCAAUGCAGGAGACACGGGUUCAUGCCCCAGUUCGGGAAGAUCCCGCAUGCCGCGGAGCGACUGCUCCCGUGAGCUAUGGCUGCUGGGCCUGCGCGUCCGGAGCCUGUGCUCUGCAAUGGGAGGGUCCACGGCAGUGAGAGGCCCACAUACAACAACAACAACAAAAAAUUAAAUACAAAGAAAAAUAUUAAAAGCAGCAAAGGAAUAGCAACAAAUAAUGUGCAAGGGAAUCCCCAUAAGGAUAAUAGCUGAUCUUUCAGCAGAAACUCUGCAAACCAGAAGAAAGUGAUAGGAAAUAUUUAAAGUGAUGAAAGUUAAAAAUGUACAACCAAGGUUACUCUACCCAGAAAGGAUCUCAUUCAGAUUCAAUGAAGAAAUUAAAACCUUUACAGAGAGGCAAAAGCUGAGCAAAUUCAGCACCACAAAGCCAGCUUUACAACAAAUGCUAAAGGAACUUGUCUAGGCAGAAAACACAAGAGAAGGAAAAGACCUACAAUAACAAACCCAAGACAAUUAAGAAAAUACUAAUAGGGGGCUUCCAUUGUGGUGCAGUGGUUGAGAGUCCGCCUGCUGAUGCAGGGGACACGGGUUCAUCCACAGUUCCAGGAAGAUCCCAUAUGGGAUCAUGCCCAUGAGCCAUGGCCACUGAGCCAGUGCGUCCGGAGCCUGUGCUCCACAAUGGGAGAGGCCACAAGAGUGACAGGCCCGAGUAACACACACACACACACACACACACACACACACACACACACAUACUAAUAGUAACAUACAUAUUGAUUACUAUCUUAAAGGUGGAUGGACCUAGAGUCUGUCAUGCAGAGUGAAGUAAGUCAGAAAGAGUAAGACAAAUACCGUAUGCUAACACAUAUAUAUGGAAUUUAAGAAAAAAAAUGUCAUGAAGAAUCUAGGCAUAGACAGGAAUAAAGACACAGACCUACUAGAGAAUGGACUUGAGGAUAUGGGGAGGGGGAAGGGUAAGCUGUGACAAAGUGAGAGAGUCGCAUGGACAUAUAUACACUACCAAAUGUAAAAUGGCUAGUGGGAAGCAGCCACAUGGCACAGGGAGAUCAGCUCGGUGCUUUGUUACCAAAUAGAGCAGUGGGA